AAUUUUUAUGUUAUAAUAAAAAAAGAAAGUAUAAAUUAAUUGUGAUCUCAAUCUAAAUAUCAAGACCCAAUUUUUUUGAUUUUGAAAGAAGAAAACUAAAAAUUUGUGAUUAAGAGAAACACUUAUUAUGAAAAUUUUAAAUUUUGAAAGUUUUUUUUGAGAUUUCUUGUUAAAUAUCACGGAUAACAUAAUAGAAUAUAGGGAAAAUAUUAAAAAUAAUAAACUGUCACACCCUUUUUUAUCGACCAAACUUCUACUUAAUCCUCUUAAAUAAAUAAACAGAUUUAUACUGCUUGAAAAAGGGUUUUCAAUUUUUGAAAGUGACAAAGAUUGUAUUCAAAAGGAAAACUCAGAGUCGCCGCCUGGCAUUUAAUUCGGUGUGCCAAGCCACAGUUUUUAAAAAAAAAAUCCUUUUAAAACACUUGACUCAAAGCUAAGUUUGCACCUGAAGUUUGGGUAAGGAGAUUCAUUAGACUUGGGAGAAGGUGUUAGGCACUCCCCAAAUCCCAUGAAGGUCACAGUUGCGUACUCGAUAUAAUUGGCUUUUAGAAUAUUCGAAUUAAGAUAAAACACACAAAAGAAGAUAAACACAAAGAGGUUCGAGGUUGUCCAUGCCUAAGAUAAAAAAAAUAAGAAUAAAAUAAAAUACUACACAAACUCGUCACGGCCUCCAGAAUAUUUACAAAGUACUUCGGGGCAACUUGUGCCACAGAAGCAGUUGUGCUCUGCCUCUUCCCCUCUAGCAGAAGAUUGCCUUGUGUGGAAGGUUGACUCUGAACUUCAGUCAAUGGGAGGAAUCUCUCCGGAGAAAAUAAUCAACUAAAGGGAUAACCUUUCGCCUCGGCAAAACUAAAAUAUAAACGCCCUAAAGUUUUGCCUAUCCAAGUGUGAUCGGCCUAAAACAUUCUUCUAGCGGACAAUAUAACAAAAGCAAAACAAAUAAAAUUAAAGAUUAAUUCCAUGCUCAUUUUCUUUUAACUUCUUAUUUCAUGCAUUUGACCAAAUCCAAUCCUAAAAUGUGUCGGGCGAUUAAUUACUAAUAGGCUUUGGUUGUUCCCCAUUCCCGCGACUCUUAAUGAUAAGCAUAUCAAACCAAACAAACAACUAAUAAGCUGAUAAACAAUUGUUCAAGGACAAAUAAAUUACUGAUACAUCAUGGUCACAGCUAAACUUAAGGCAACUCUCAACAUGUUGACAUCAUAAUAAUACUCAAUCGCAUCUAAAAGGAUUAAAUACUCGCAACUUAACAUAUAGAGAACUGCAGAAGGCCCAAAUAAGCAAACUAAUUUUCAAGCAAACUUCAACAGCUUCAAACUUGGCACGUUUCUCUUUUCUUUUCCUUUGUUAAAAUAUUAAACUCAAUACAUAGUCUCAAACACUCAAUAGGAAUCCAACCAAAAGAAACUAAGUAGUCAAAUUUUUUAAGAAAGAAAGUGAAUAAAAUCCUAUAGUAAGGUUACUGAAUUCCAGAAGUAGCACUAUGAUAUUGAAAAUUAAUUAUAGCUAACCAACCCUUUUUAUAUCACUUUAAUCCUCUAAAGCUUUAUUUAUUAGAAAAUUAGUCAUGGCUUAAACCAAAAGGAAUUUCAGGAAAAUAAUUCAAUCUCAAAAAUAUCAAAAGAUGUGACUAAAAGUAGGAUUAUGAGCCUCAUUUUACCUAUUUAUUCUGUAAACCAUAGCCAAAUAAUGCACGAAGUAAAGGGGAUAUCUACAACUAAACUAAACUCAUCACCACUGUUUAAGUUUUCAAAAGCGACUCACAAACUCAAACCUCUACCAUCAAAAUCCAAAUAGAACUAAGCUCAGGCUACAAGGAACGAGUCCAAAGAGAGUUUGCAUUGAAACGGUGAUUAUUUGAACACUAAUAACUUUUCCUUGUCGAAGGAAUUAUUCAAAAAACAGAACUUAUUUACCAACAAUGAGACAUAUAUCACUGGUUCAUGCCUAGUUUAACGAUCACAAAGUCGAGCAAAUCUUUCGUUUUCAAACCAAGAGAAUCAAAGCUCAAAUAAUGUUUCAAACACAUAAUAAUAGCUGAGCGCAUACGAAGCAUAGAAAGUAAUUAAUCCAAUUAGUUCCUAUGAACUUUGGCUAAGCCACAUUCUGUUAAUACUCAAUUAAGAACCAAAUUAAGUUAGGUGUCCGCGAAUACCAAUUAAUUAAGGCUCAAAUCAUGUGUAAAUCCAACCUAAAAUCAGAAAAUAGGAGGAGAAUGAACGAACCUUUAAUUAAAAUUCCAGCAAUUACAGAGAUGUUGAUAAGCCACAAUUAUGCUAGAACUCAAACGGAACCGUCGUGUCGCACUUCGAUAAUGCAGUAGCUAGAUCGAACAUGAACCACGGACUCGACUUUGAACGACAACUCCAAGCGAACUCCGGGGACAAAUUUGAACCACCCUCAAACUUCGAUCAAAUUUUCAGUCGUAAUGUUUCUGAUUUUUGAAGCAGAAUUCAAACUAGAAGAAUUUAAUUUUUUUUUUGUUCUUUUAUAUUGGAAAAUGAAAAAAACAGAAUCAAAGACUACUCAAAGAAGAACUCUAAUUUUCGAAUGGAUUGAGAUUAGAAGAACCACCAAAAAUCCGGAAAAUCCUAGUUCUUUCUCACUUUUUUCCUCUUCAAUUUUCCGUCCAGACCCUCGAAUAUAUAGCCAACCUAGAAGCUUAUAUCCUUGUCUUCCAAGAAAACCGAAAAUCCACAUAAUUCUCAGAAAAUUAAAACAAAAAAUCGGAUAAUCUCUUCUCUUGGCGAGAUAAGAGAAAUGGCAGGAGUAGAUCAAGUGUAACUCAAUACUACGCACCCCAUUUUUCCUAUUUUCGCCUAAAAGAGUAAUCCAAAAAAAAUAAAAAUAGGGAGAAAACGCGUAGUAUCAAACCCUAAUGAUGAGGGGGGAUCAUGAAGGAACCAUGUGAGUUAACUUGGCCGAUUUGCUGAGUUCGUUGGAGGAGAAAGGGACGCGGGCAGAGGGUUAGGAGGAGAGGGAAGGUGUGGGGCGGCUAGACUUUAGGUUUAGGGUUUGGGGAAGAUUAAGGUUUUAUAUGAUGGUGAUGAUAUAUGUAGACCAUUGGAUUAAAUCCAAUCAAAGGCUAGGAUUUACACUAGAGGAUGGGGCGGGUCAUGGGUUGAUCCGACGUGUCAAAGGGUUGGGUUGAGGAAGGGAUUGGGCUGCCCGAUUUUGGCUUCUACUUAUGUAAAAAUUAGGCCAAAUUUUGCACUUCUUCAAUUUUUAAAAGUCAAUAAAAUAACCAAUCCCAUCUUUUAAAUUAAAACUAAACUAAAUUCAAUUAAUUAAAUAAACUAUGUGAAUAUAUGAAACUAUAUAUUUUUUUUAAUUUAUUAUGUUUUUAUAUAAAUUAAAAAUAAGAGUAAAAAUAAUAGUAAAACAAGAUACAUUGCUAUAAAAAUCUUAAUAACCAAAACUAGAUAGAAAUAAGGUAAAGCAUGAAACUAUAUAGAUAUUUAUAUUUUAGUUUUUGUGCUUAAAAAAAUAGAAUUAAAAUUAGUAAUAAAGUAAAUCUUAUAGAAAUAAACCCAAAUAAAUAUCCCAAAAAAUAAGUAAAUAUUUUUUUAAAAUGCUAUUUUUAAAAGUUGCGCGGAUCGAAAAAUUGCAUGCUUACAGCUGCCCCUCUGUGCUUGGAAACACGAAGAGUUUUCGAAGCAAAGAACAAUAAGCAAUGUAAUUGCCCGACGCUUAAUCCUCUAAAGCUUUAUUUAUUAGAAAAUUAGUCAUGGCUUAAACCAAAAGAAAUUUCAGGACAAUAAUUCAUUCUCAAAAAUAUCAAAAGAUGUGACUAAAAGUAGGAUUAUGAGCCUCAUUUUACCUAUUUAUUCUGUAAACCAUACCAAAAUAAUGCACGAAGUAAGGGAGAUAUCUAUAACUAAACUAAACUCAUCACCACUGUUUAAGUUUUCAUAAACGACUCACAAACUCAAACAUCUAGCAUUAAAAUUCAAAUAGAACUAAGCUCAAGCUACAAGGAACGAAUCGAAAGAGAGUUUGCAUUGAAACAUUGAUUAUUUGCGCACUAAUGACUUUUCCUUGUCGAAGGAAUUUAUCAAAAAAACAGAACUUAUUUUACCAACAAUGUAACAUAUAUCACUGGUUCAUGCCUAGUUUAACGAUCACAAAGUCGAGCAAAUCUUUCAUUUUCAAACCAAGAGAAUCAAAGCUCAAAUAAUGUUUUAAACACAUAAUAAUAGCUGAGAGCAUAUGAAGCAUAGAAAGUAUUCAAUCCAAUUAGUUCCUAUGAACUUUGGCUAAGCCACAUUAUGUUAAUACUCAAUUAAGAACCAAAUAAGUUAGGUGUUCGCGAAUACCAAUUAAUUAAGGCUCAAAUCAUGUGUAAAUCCAAUCCAAAAUCAGAAAAUAGGAGGAGAAUGAACGAACCUUUAAUUAAAAUUCCAGCAAUUACAGAGAUGUUGAUAAGCCACAAAUAUGCUAGAAACUCAAACGGAACCGGCGUGUCGCACUUCAAAAAUGCAGCAACACGGACUCGACUUCGAACGACAAAUUCGAGCCACCCUCGAACUUCGAUCAAAUUUUCUGUCGUAAUGUUUCCGAUUUUUGAAGCAGAAUUCAAAGUAGAAGAAUUUAAUUUUUUUUUGUUCUUUUAUAUAGGAAAAUGAAAAAACAGAAUCAAGAAGAACUUUAAUUUUCGAAUGGAUUGAAAUUAGAAUAACCACCAAAAAUCCGAAAAACCCUAGUUCUUUCUCACUCUCUUCCUCUUCAAUUUUACAUCCAGACCCUCCAAUAUAAAGCCAACCUAGAAGCUUCUAUCCUUGUCUUCCAAGAAAACCGAAAUCCACCAAAUUCUCAGAGAAUUAAAACCUAAAAUCGGAUAAUCUCUUCUCUUGGCAAGAUAAGAGAAAUAGAGGGAGUAGAUCAAGUGUAACUCAAUCCUACGCACCCCAUUUUUUCUAUUUUCGCCUAAAAGAGUAAUCCAAAAAAUGAAAAUAGGGAGAAAACACGUAAAAUCAAUCCCUAAUGAUGAGGGGGGACCAUGAGGGGACCAUGUGAGUUAACUCGGCCGAUUUUAUGGGUUUUCUGGCGAGUUGGAGGGGCAUCGGACGCGCGCAGAGGGUUUGCAGGAGAGGGAAGGAGUGGGGCGGCUAGACUUUAGGUUUAGGGUUUGGGGA
This 5132-nucleotide long non-coding RNA is filed under the name Nicotiana benthamiana. RNAcentral describes it as "long non-coding RNA (NBEN_LNC042284)". The record is from RNAcentral. Lineage: Eukaryota; Viridiplantae; Streptophyta; Magnoliopsida; Solanales; Solanaceae.